GCGCCGGCUGGCUGGCGGUGGGCCUACUGGGAGUGCAGAGGAUUUGCAGCUUGGUUGCAGAUGGAGCUGCCGCUGUCCCCAGAGCGGGAGACCGCACUGUUGUCCGGCUGGGCACUUGGGAAGCUGGGCUUGCUUGGAGAACUGUUGGGGCGAGCGGGAGUUAGACAAGGCUGUCCCACGCUGCAUACAGCUGGUUAGCAGAGAACAAGAGGGAGUCUUGAGGGGUGUCUGCGGGGCUCGGCGGGGGCGGUGGCCCCUACUGGGUUGGCGUGGUGGCUUUGGUCCUAUGGAGUUCCCCGCUUCAGCCGAGGGUUUUGUUGUUUUGUUUUGCUUUUUUGUUUUUGUCUUUUUUUUUUUCUCUUUUAAGCCAUUUUUUUCAUGUGUUUUUUUCGAGACGAACGCAGCCAAGGCAAUGCAACUUAACGUUUGUCGGUGACGUACGUGUUGCCGGGGGUCGGACUGGAAAGCGCUUUAAUUCUGCUGGUGCUUUUAUCUGAUGUGAGAAUGAAUGCCGCUCUCGACGGGUUUACACAAUAGCCAGAAGCGUUGUCUUCCUAUUUCAAAAGAGAAGAGCAACGUGGCGCCCCAGCCUUGCAGGGCUCCGGCGCUACCUACCUCCCACCGUGUGCCUCGCCUCGCUUAGGAGUUGGCUGAGUGCAGCAGCCACCUUUAUCAACCCGUGAUCCAUUAGGUCAACUGGUGGAGAUGUAGUUUGCAAAACUUUCCAGGAACUAGCUUUAUUAAGUAUAACACGAGGCUAUUUGAUAAUAUUUUUCUUGGACUAUUCUUAAAGGGAUGAACUAAUUGAAAGUCUUUCUCUCAACCACUCCUCACCCCCAAAAAUUUACAGUGCUUUCUCAAAUGCCUAAGAAGGAUUUUCACGGAUAUAUAAUAAUAGUAUAAACAGGUAUCCAAGACUUUUUACUAGUAAACUAAAGUAUAAAUUAAAGAUCGAAUUAGUUUAUUUUAUUGUAUUUUUAUUUUUGUUUUUCGAGACAGGGUUUCUCUAUAGCUUUGCGCCUUUCCUGGAACUCACUUUGUAGUCCAGGCUGGCCUCGAACUCACAGAGAUCUGCCUGCCUCGCAUGCGCCACCACCGCCCGGCUUAGUUUUUUAUCCUAAGUAGCAAAAGAUGGUAACAAAGUUAUUAGUUACUUGGGAUUACUGGGGGAGGGGGGAAUUCCCCAAUCUUGUAAAAUUAAAAAACUAUUGUUGUCGAAAGACAAAGUGACCUUUCCCUAUUAUCAUUACUGAAAACACUGCUGAAAUUUGCUUUUCUCUUACAAGAGCAUGGGUUCACAUGUCUCCAUGAAAUUUGUUAAGCUGUGUGAUGAGGCUGGAAGAGAACCUGGAAGAAGAACUGGAGUUACAGGCAGUUGUGAUCCACUGCAUGGGUGACGGGAACUGAGCCCUGGUCCUCUAUAAAAACCAAUAAACGUUCCUAACCACUGA
Molecule: long non-coding RNA, 1451 nt
Organism: Peromyscus californicus insignis
Lineage: Eukaryota; Metazoa; Chordata; Mammalia; Rodentia; Cricetidae
Exons: 2
Source: RefSeq, a predicted model, not a curated record